UUAAAGGUUUUAAUCAAAACCACACAAGAAACAUAAAUCAUGGCA
This is a non-coding RNA of Poecilia formosa (Amazon molly), 45 nucleotides long. Lineage: Eukaryota; Metazoa; Chordata; Actinopteri; Cyprinodontiformes; Poeciliidae. The record is from Rfam.